UGGGGGUACCAAUGUGGGGUCCAGACAUCAUUCCUUUUUCCCAUUGGCCUUGUCUAGCCACCUGUAUCAGGCCUUAUCCAAUAGGGGUCUUAGUGAUGGUAUGCCCCAUAAAUUUUAUGGCUACUUUGUUCUUCUUCCCCCGAGACUGGGAGUCACCAUUCCUCUCCUUUCUUCCCUAUCAGUCCAAGGGGUGGGUUAGAGAUUAACAUCCACCUAGACGUAAAGCAAAUGUACUUUCUAUAGAAAACAGGAUCUGAGAAUGUUUGUUAUUUCCUGGAACCUCCCAAAUCAUAGAUAUUAAUCAACAACUAUAUCAAAGAAUACAUCAAGGGAGUUCCCGUUGUGGCACAGCAAACAAAUCCGACUAGUAACCAUGAGGUUGCAGGUUUGAUCCCUGGCCUCAAUCAGUGGGUUAAAGACCUGGCAUUCCCCGUGAGCUGUGGGGUUGCAGACACAGCUCGGAUCUGGCAUUGCUAUGGCUGUGGUGUAGGCCACCAGUUAUAAGUCCAAUUAGUUCCCUAGCCUGGGAACCUCCAUAUGCCACUAGUGCAGCCCUAAAAAGCAGAAAAAAAAAAAGAAAAGAAAAGAAGAAUACAUCGAAGCCCAUGUUUCUACACUAAUGACCUAAAUCAUCACUCAUUACUCUGCUUCACUGUCACACACUGAUGAUUGAAAUGAAGAAAAUGAGUGUAAUGCGAUAGAGAUAGCAUGUACAGAGAUGGCCUCUAGCUGAGACUUGAAUGGUGUUAGAAACCAGCCGUAUAAAGAUCUGGAGGAAAAGCAUUUCAGGAAGAUUGGAACAGCAACAGUGAAAACUCUGAGGCUAAAAUGAGCUAGGCAUGUGAUUAUGAAAUAAGGUUAGAAAAUAAGGAGACAUAUGCUGGAAUUGUGAUCAGAAAAGGAGUCAGAAACCAGAGUAUGCAGGUGUCAGGGUGAGAAGUUUAGAUUUUAUAUUCUAGUUGUGAUGGGCACCUACUGGAGGUUUAUGUAGUAGGAUCUGAUUUCACAUUUGAAGGAAUCAUUGUAGUUGCUCUUUGGAGAGAAUGAAGUGUAGGGGAGCAAGAAGAGAAGUAAUCCCAACUAAUAGUUAAGAUAAUGUCUGAAACUAAAGAUGGAAAAUAAUCUCAUGACAGUACUGAUUUAUGAUUUUUAUUUUUUUAUUUCCCCAAUACAUUAUUUUUUUUUUACUACUGUACAACAUGGUGACCCAGUUACACAUACAUGUAUAUUUUCUUUUUUCUCACAUUAUCAUGCUCCAUCAUAAGUGACUAGGCAUAGUUCUCAAUGCUGCACAGCAGGAUCUCAUUGCUAAUCCAUUCCAAAGGCUACAUCUGUUAACCCCAAGCUCCCAAUCCAUCCCACAUCCUCCCCAACCCUUUGGCAACCACAGUCUAUUCUCCAAGUCCAUGAUUUUCUUUUCUGUGGAAAGGUUCAUUAGUGAUGUGUAUUAGAUUCCAGAUAUAAGUGAUAUCAUAUGGUAGUUGCCUUUCUCUUUCUGACUUACUUCACUCAGGAUGAGAGUCUCUAGUUCCAUCCAUGUUACUGCAAAUGGCAUUAUUUUGUUCUUUUUAUGGCUGAGUAGUAUUCCAUUGUGUAUACAUACCACAUCUUCCUAAUCCAGUCAUCUGUUGAUGGAAUUUGGGUUGUUUCCAUGUCUUGGCUAUUGUGAAUCGUACUGAAAUGAAUAUGGGGGUGCCUAUGUCUUUUUCAAGGAAAGUUUUGUCUGGAUAUAUGCCCAAGAGUUGGAUUGCUGGUCAUAUGGCAAUUCUGUGUAUAGAUUUCUAAGGUAGCUCCAUACUGUUCUCCAUAGUGGUUGUACCAGCUUACAUCCCCAUGAACAGUGCAGAAGGGUUCCCUUUUCUCCACACCCUCUCCAACAUUUGUUAUUUGUGGCCUUAUUAAUGAUGGCCAUUCUGACUGGUGUGAGAUGGUAUCUCAUGGUAGUUUUGAUUUGCAUUUCUAUAAUAAUCAGGGGUGUUGAGCAUUUUUUCAUGUGCUUGUUGGCCAUCUGUAUAUCUUCCUUGGAGAAAUGUCUAUUCAGAUCUUUUGCCCAUUUUUCCAUUGGGUUGUUGGCUUUUUUCUGUUGAGUUGUGUAAGUUGUUUGUAUAUUUUAGAGAUUAAGCCCUUGUCAGUUGCAUCAUUUGAAACUAUUUUUUCCCAUUCUGUAAGGUGUCUUUUUCUUUUCUUUUUGUUUUCCUUUGCUGUGCAAAAGCUUGUCAGAUCAAUUAGGUCCCAUUGGUUUAUUUUUGCUUUCAUUGCCGUGAGCUGUGGUGUAGGUCACAGAUGCAGCUCAGAUCUGGCAUUGCUUUGGCUCUGGAGUAGGCCGGCAGCAACAGCUCCUAUUAGACCCCUAACCUGAGAACCUCCAUAUGCCACAGGUGCAGCCCUAAGUAGACCAAAAAAAUUUUUUUUCAGUCUUUUAAAGGAUUACUUUGGCCUAAAAAUGUUCUUUCUGAAAAGAAGAAGAAAAGGAAAUGUGAACACAGUUCAACAAUGUUUGCAAAUGAAGCAUAGUUAUUUGGUGGUGGUGGUGGGGGGGGGUUGUUAAAGUAACUGAGGAAGUCACCAGCAACAGGGCAUCUGAAUAGAUGAGGGGGUGAUUGAGAGUUUGGGCUCAUUUUACUCAGAUUCAUCCCAAGUCUGCUUUCUCUCCUGAAACCUGCCUCAGAUCAUAUGUCAUCUGAACUCUUCUUCUGCCCCUUUCAGAUCCGAGUUUAAAUGCCCUGCUUCUUCACCACCAUCUACCCAUUAGAAUAGUCUACAGAGAAGAUACUACAGUGACUGGGGGCAAAUACAAUGUAAUUUGAAUGAACAUCAGAAAAGAAAGAAAUUCUGUCAUGUUCACAGGUGUUUCCCAAUAGAAUUAAAAAAUGAAAUCCAAUGCUAUGUAUAUUUUACCACAAUAAAA
This 2908-nucleotide long non-coding RNA is filed under the name Sus scrofa (pig). Its description in RNAcentral is "lncRNA (ENSSSCG00025057703.1)". The record is from RNAcentral. Lineage: Eukaryota; Metazoa; Chordata; Mammalia; Artiodactyla; Suidae.